RNAcentral lists this ribosomal RNA (305 nucleotides) under uncultured bacterium. RNAcentral's name for it is "bacterial SSU rRNA". It matches the Rfam family "Bacterial small subunit ribosomal RNA", at positions 335 to 654 of the family's 1533-position model. The record is from RNAcentral.
UGGCCUACGGGAGGCAGCAGUGGGGGAUAUUGCACAAUGGGGGAAACCCUGAUGCAGCGACGCCGCGUGGGCGAAGAAGUAUUUCGGUAUGUAAAGCCCUAUCAGCAGGGAAGAAGAAAUGACGGUACCCAAGGAAUAAGCCCCGGCUAACUACGUGCCAGCAGCCGCGGUAAUACGUAGGGGGCAAGCGUUGUUCGGAAUGACUGGGCGUAAAGGGUGUGUAGGCGGUGUAGCAAGUUAGAAGUGAAAUACCUAGAGCUUAACUCAGGUGCUGCUUCUAAAACUGCUAUACUUGAGUGCAGUAG